This 256-nucleotide ribosomal RNA is filed under the name uncultured bacterium. RNAcentral's name for it is "partial 16S ribosomal RNA". It matches the Rfam family "Bacterial small subunit ribosomal RNA", at positions 524 to 776 of the family's 1533-position model. The record is from RNAcentral.
UACGAAGGGGGCUAGCGUUGCUCGGAAUCACUGGGCGUAAAGGGUGCGUAGGCGGGUCUUUUAAGUCAGAGGUGAAAUCCUGGAGCUCAACUCCAGAACUGCCUUUGAUACUGAGGAUCUUGAGUUCGGGAGAGGUGAGUGGAACUGCGAGUGUAGAGGUGAAAUUCGUAGAUAUUCGCAAGAACACCAGUGGCGAAGGCGGCUCACUGGCCCGAUACUGACGCUGAGGCACGAAAAGCGUGGGGGAGCGAACAGG